Molecule: ribosomal RNA, 460 nt
Filed under: uncultured bacterium
Lineage: Bacteria
Description: SSU rRNA
Rfam family: Bacterial small subunit ribosomal RNA
Source: RNAcentral
AGAAUCAACGCUGGCGGCGUGCCUAACACAUGCAAGUCGAUCGAGAAAGUGGAGCAAUCCAUGAGUAAAGAGGCGCACGGGUGAGUAACACGUGACUAACCUACCUUCGAGUGGGGAAUAACCUGGGGAAACCCGGGCUAAUACCGCAUAAUACCUACGGGUCAAAGGAGCAAUUCGCUUGAAGAGGGGGUCGCGGCAGAUUAGUUAGUUGGCGGGGUAAUGGCCCACCAAGACGAUGAUCUGUAUCCGGCCUGAGAGGGCGCACGGACACACUGGAACUGAAACACGGUCCAGACUCCUACGGGAGGCAGCAGUGGGGAAUUUUGCGCAAUGGGGGAAACCCUGACGCAGCAACGCCGCGUGGAGGAUGAAGUCCCUUGGGACGUAAACUCCUUUCGACCGGAACGAUUAUGACGGUACCGGAUGAAGAAGCCCCGGCUAACUUCGUGCCAGCAGCCGC